Molecule: long non-coding RNA, 3639 nt
Organism: Cyprinus carpio carpio
Lineage: Eukaryota; Metazoa; Chordata; Actinopteri; Cypriniformes; Cyprinidae
Source: Ensembl
UACCACGGGAUACAAAUUAAAAAUCGCUGUUUCAAAGAUCAUACUUGAAAAAAACAAAAAAAACAGACGGGAUCAAGAAACAAAGAAUGCCCUCUCUUAGACUCACUUCAUUUGUUAUACCUACCACAAAAAAAGUGUAUUUAUUAAUAACAUUUUUUUUUGCUUGGCAUUGUACAUGUAGAUGUGGAAAAUAAGUAUGAAGUUGAAUAGAAAUGUUAACGCAACUGUAAAAGUGCCGUAAAAAAAUGUUUCCACACACACAGCCUCCUCCUCUGUGGAGGAAAACAAAUGUCUCUGUACACUGGACUAUUUCUGUAACUUCAGUAUUCACAACAAGUAGGCUGUGUCUCAAAACCAAGCAUGCUGCCUACUUAGACAGCAUGUCUGGGCAUUCAAAUACAUCCAUAAUGCCCAUAAAUGUUGUCUUGGUAGCCAUCUCACUAGAUUUUAAGACGCAACCUUAAAUAUACUCGCUUCACUUGUCUGUUUCUGAUGCAGGAAGCAUAUAUAUUUAUAUUUAAGGGUCUCUUUCUUUCUUUACUUUCACAUCCCCAGCUAAAAUGGUUGCUAUCUCGCCUUGCAUGAAAGCCCAAGGCACGUUUGACCCUACCAGGGGACAUUUCUCUCCGCUGGGGCAGUACACCUCUCCUGUGGCCCCCUGCGCUUUGAUGCUCUCCCGGGAACACGGGAAGCAGAAUUUGUGGUUUGGAACUGACGGGCACUGGACGAAGUGUGUGUCUUCUAAACGUUCGUGGCAGAUAGUACAACACAAAGGUCCGUUAUUUGCCAUGGGUGAGUCUGGAAUGUUCUGAGGGUGCACCUGAUCCAUGCCCUGAUGCGAACCCGAUUGAGAAGGUGUCCCCGUCAGACUGAUCUCCCCGUUCCGGGAGGCCAAACGCCGCUGUCCUGACACCGAGGCAGGGGAGACAGGACUGCUACUGUUGUGUCGGGUAGAUGUGGUGGAGUGCACUGAGUUGCUGUCCUUUGGUGAGUGCGCGUUACCCAAAGUGUCUGCGACUGACAUGAGUGCAGCCAUGGGGGACUGUCCGUUCUGGGGGGCUGAUUCAGGUGGGGUGGCUCGACUGGAGUGCACCGACCCCAGGGGUGGAGGUCCACCGUGAGAGGCUGCGAAUGAGCUGGACGCCAUGGUCAGUUUGAGCGCCUCGCUUUGACUCGCCAUCCACUGCUGUCUCUGCUGCUCUCCCUCUGCCGAGUCCGGUUCUGGGGAGGCUUUGCGUUUGCGCAUACCAGUCCUGAGCGCGCUGCCCGACGCCACGGCCCGGGGCAUGUUGACCAGCGCUGAAGGCAGCAGAGGGCAGCUGGCAUCGAUGUAAGGCUGGGGCAGCAUUUCACCCCCGAGCCCCUCCUUAAAGAAACGCACAGACUCCGGGAGUAAAUCGCCCAAGAGCCUCCAGUCACCAGAGCCGUGCUUUUUCUCAUAUUCCAGAUAUUUGAAGCCAGAGGAAAGCCCUCUGCCAAAGUCUUUCAUGCAGUCCUGGUACAUCUGUUUAGCCACACCAGACGCACUGGAAAACACAUUACCAGAUCCACUGGGAUACUCAAUAAAGAUUUUCAGUUCAUAGUCCAUGCCGUGCUUUGAAAUAGCAUCGAAAGCAAACACCCUACCUAGAAGGGAAUGAUCUUUCUUGAACCUCACAUCAAACGGAGUGCAAUUGGAAAGUGUGAGCAGUGUGUCCCUCACUAUCUUGGAUCUCUUUCUUGGUCCGUGCUGGACACAGAACCGGGUCUUUUACCUUGCUCGGAGAGCGCGAGCGCCGGUCCGAUGCUGGCCGGGGCUGGAGGGGCUCGCGCAGACAAGCUGUGCUGGGCUAUACUCGCCGCUGACGGUGGGCCGUUCAGGAGAGUCUGCGGGAGGAGGUUCGGCGGCACGCUCAUCUGUCCUGACACCGCCACCAGCCCGUGAUUCCGACGCGAGUUAGGGCUCUGUCGGUUCAACUCGGGGGGUCCGUCGUCUGAUUUGGGGAAGCCGUUCGGUCCGCCGAGUCCGUUCGGAAGCCUGUGCGCGCCAAUGCUGGAAUAAUCAAAGCGCGAUCUCUCGGUUCCGAGCGCGUAUCGGUCCAAACCGGGCUGCUGUUGUUGUUGUUGUUGCUGCUGCUGCUGCUGUUUGGACGAGCCGUCCAUAUGGUUCAUCUGCACCGACUCCUUGGAUGGAAUGCCCGCUUGUGCUUUCACCGCAGACGGCGGCGCGGGACCCGGGGAUCUCCCUUCCUGGAAGCCAUGAGCCCGCUUCAGAUGGCGCGCGGUCUCGAUAACAAACUCGAUCCGAUCCGCGCCCUCGUAGUUCACGCAACCCCUGCACACGGGCUCCGUAAAAUCCCAAAUCAUCGCCCACGGCAUGCGCGGCAGGUCGCACAGAUAACACGACUGUCUCCUCGACGAGGAGACCUGCGCCGAAGACAUGUUGAGCUGCUCCUCUCGGAUCUGUUAUACGGUUACUAGGAGGCGAAUGCGCCUCUUCUGCUUCUCGGAAUGCCACCUGGCUGGGCCGGUGACGUCAGCACCACGUUCCGCAGUUCCUUUUUCUGUUACAAAUGACAAGCCACUUGUUGCCACGCGAGUGCGCAUGCGCUAACCACUCCCUAACAAAUCUUCUGAAUGGACCGAGAAACGCGCACCGCCACCAUGUAUGGCAAGCCGCUUAAACAUUUAAGAUUCAAAACAUACUUGUAUCUAUUUUUAUGUUACUAUCACUUUUAGGUAAAUCCAAGUUAUCCAAGCAUCUAUUUAGUAGUUAUUCCUUAUACUAUUUAUUUAUUUGCUUGUAAUCACUAUCGCAAUAUGGCAAGUAUCCAUUACAUUUUCUACUAGUAACAAAUUGCAUUUUUUUGUGUAAUUGGUAUCUAUAGUACUGGAAUGUAUCUAGGAAAUUAUCACUAAAAACUAAUGAAUACUUAAUAGUAAAUCUCGAAUAGACACCAUGAAGACAUACAUGAAUACCUGAAAACCAGAUUCCAUACGUCAAUUCUAUAUCUUGUAUGACAAUUCAAUUAAAAAAAAAUAAUAAUAAAUAAAUUCUUAGCAGUAAAAAUUAUUACUUGUCAAUACUGGGAUAAUGGCUAGUAACAAAAGUUAUAGGUAUUAGUAUCUAAUGAAUGAAUGUGAUAAAUCAUUAUAAAUUACAAAUUCAAUAGAUACCCACCACUACUGUAAUGAAUCCUAGAAUCAAAUGUAGUUACUAGGGAAAUUGAAAUGGGAUACUAGUCACUAUUAGAUCACAUACUAUUCAUUAUAAAUAAGUACUAUUUAUUUAUAAAUAUGCUUAUAAAAAUAAUACAAAAAAUAAAUGUUCAAGCUACUUGCCAUAACAUGUUGGCCAGUUUGCUCUCAGAAUACAAGAGCCAGAGAUGUGGGUGGAAAAUCUGAGGUAUUCAUGUUUCUUCCAGAGCGUCUGUUCUUACUGCUUCUAAAAUGUCCAUACUCUUGAUAUUCUGCAGUACUAUUAAUAAUGCAAAAUCAUGUUAUAGCGAUGCAUACACUAGCAAAAUGUGUGUGUGAUUUAAACAAAAAAUAUGCAUACUGUGGGAAUAUUUUAAACAAAAGACAUUCUUAGUCAUUUGAAAUAACAUUUAUUCCCCAUGAUAUGAAGACUACCUUACUGCUGAUGUUCUGAUUUCAUUG